AUGGCCCUUCCAUCAGGGCUAAGAUUCCAGAAAGACUCAUGGUUCUCCCAACCCCACUUCCUCCCAACACAGGUUCGGAAGCCCAGGGCCUGUGGAAGCUCAUGUGGGCAAAGCAUCCGGAACGUGCCUGGCACAGGGUCAGACCUCUCCAGUGGAACACUGCCCACCACUCCGUGGCCCCCCAGGCCCCCAGCCACUGCAGAGGCUGUCUGUGCCCGCACCCUCAAGGUCCUAAGCAGCCCCGCCCCGCAGGCGGGCAGAGCAGAGCACCCCACCUGCGGCUUCCUGUUGGGCUUCCUGAGCAUGGCCAUCCUGGCUGAAGGCCAUACCUCCCUCCAGGGAGGCCAGGGAGAAGACUCAGUACCGCCUUGGGUGUUUCCACCAGGUCUUUCCCUCUGGCAGCUCCAGGCCGGAAAAUGCCAGCUCCACAGCUGGGCUUCAGUGGAAGCUGUGUCUUGGCCCCACCCCAGUGACCAGAGGCCUUACAAGGACCCUGUCCAUGCUCCCGCUGGCACCAGGGACAGGAACUAUGAGAAACCCUCUGCAACAGCAGCCCACAUCCUGCUGGUCCUGAGGUCCGACCCUGUUGGGGAGCCUGAGCUAAACAAUCUGGGGACCAAAACCGUGAAGUCACUCAUACAAGGCUGUCCAGUGAUGGGCCAGGACCGGCAUCUCUGUGGAUGAGCCCUUCCCAUUGGUGUGACCCGGAUGCAGAGAAGACACCGCCCUCCAGAUGCCCCACCACCCCCCUGCCCGACACACACACACACACACACACACACACACACACACACAUCACAAAUACACCACACCCCCACCACACACACCACACACACACACCACACACACACACACACGCCCCAUCACACCUGCACCACACACACACACACACCACACACACAUCACAAAUACACCACACACACACAAACCCACCCACCACACACACCACACACACAGACACACAUACGGCCCACCACACCCCCACCACACCCACAUACACACAAACGGAGGGGGAAAGGUUGGAAAGAAUUUUUGAUCUGUUUCAAUAAAACACCAAACAUAGCGUUGAAGGAAAAGCCA
RNAcentral lists this long non-coding RNA (1080 nucleotides) under Bos indicus x Bos taurus (hybrid cattle). RNAcentral's name for it is "lncRNA (ENSBIXG00000010938.1)". The record is from RNAcentral. Lineage: Eukaryota; Metazoa; Chordata; Mammalia; Artiodactyla; Bovidae.